Molecule: ribosomal RNA, 621 nt
Filed under: uncultured Bacteroides sp.
Lineage: Bacteria; Pseudomonadati; Bacteroidota; Bacteroidia; Bacteroidales; Bacteroidaceae
Description: bacterial SSU rRNA
Rfam family: Bacterial small subunit ribosomal RNA
Source: RNAcentral
GAUGAACGCUAGCGGCAGGCCUAAUACAUGCAAGUCAAACGGGCCUUCGGGCAAGUGGCGCACGGGUGCGUAACGCGUAGGCAACCUACCCUCUACUGGGGAAUAACUCGGGGAAACCCGGGCUAAUACCGCGUAAUAAGUGGCAAGGCAUCUUGCUAUUUUAAAAGCUUCGGCGGUAGAGGAUGGGCCUGCGUCCCAUUAGCUAGUUGGUAGGGUAAAGGCCUACCAAGGCGACGAUGGGUAGGGGAACUGAGAGGUUGAUCCCCCACACUGGUACUGAGAUACGGACCAGACUCCUACGGGAGGCAGCAGUAAGGAAUAUUGGGCAAUGGUCGGAAGACUGACCCAGCCAUGCCGCGUGUCGGAAGACGCUCCUAGUGGGUGUAAACGACUUUUCUCCGGGAAGAAAACCCCUUUGCGAAGGGAACUGACGGUACCGGAGGAAUAAGGACCGGCUAACUACGUGCCAGCAGCCGCGGUAAUACGUAGGGUUCAAGCGUUGUCCGGAUUUAUUGGGUUUAAAGGGUGCGUAGGUGGCUUGUUAAGUCUUGGGUGAAAGGCUACGGCUCAACCGUAGAAGUGCCUGAGAUACUGGCAAGCUUGAGUCCCGUGGAGGUAGCU